AGUGAACGCUGGCGGUAGGCCUAACACAUGCAAGUCGAACGGCAGCACAGUAAGAGCUUGCUCUUACGGGUGGCGAGUGGCGGACGGGUGAGGAAUACAUCGGAAUCUACUUUUUCGUGGGGGAUAACGUAGGGACACUUACGCUAAUACCGCAUACGACCUACGGGUGAAAGCAGGGGAUCUUCGGACCUUGCGCGAUUGAAUGAGCCGAUGUCGGAUUAGCUAGUUGGCGGGGUAAAGGCCCACCAAGGCGACGAUCCGUAGCUGGUCUGAGAGGAUGAUCAGCCACACUGGAACUGAGACACGGUCCAGACUCCUACGGGAGGCAGCAGUGGGGAAUAUUGGACAAUGGGCGCAAGCCUGAUCCAGCCAUACUGCGUGGGUGAAGAAGGCCUUCGGGUUGUAAAGCCCUUUUGUUGGGAAAGAAAAGCAGCAGGUUAAUACCCCGCUGUUCUGACGUUACCCAAAGAAUAAGCACCGGCUAACUUCGUG
This 492-nucleotide ribosomal RNA is filed under the name uncultured bacterium. Its description in RNAcentral is "partial 16S ribosomal RNA". It matches the Rfam family "Bacterial small subunit ribosomal RNA", at positions 29 to 507 of the family's 1533-position model. The record is from RNAcentral.